Molecule: ribosomal RNA, 255 nt
Filed under: uncultured bacterium
Lineage: Bacteria
Description: partial 16S ribosomal RNA
Rfam family: Bacterial small subunit ribosomal RNA
Source: RNAcentral
UACGUAGGGGGCAAGCGUUGUCCGGAUUUAUUGGGCGUAAAGAGCGUGUAGGCGGUUAGGUAGGUCCGUUGUGAAAACUCGAGGCUCAACCUCGAGACGCCGAUGGAAACCCCCUAACUAGAGUCCGGAAGAGGAGAGUGGAAUUCCUGGUGUAGCGGUGAAAUGCGCAGAUAUCAGGAAGAACACCCGUGGCUAAGGCGGCUCGUCGUAGUACGGUACUGACGCUGAGACGCGAAAGCGUGGGGAGCGAACAGG